UACAGAGGAUGCAAGCGUUAUCCGGAAUGAUUGGGCGUAAAGCGUCUGUAGGUGGCUUUUUAAGUCCGCCGUCAAAUCCCAGGGCUCAACUCUGGACAGGCGGUGGAAACUACCAAGCUGGAGUACGGUAGGGGCAGAGGGAAUUCCCGGUGUAGCGGUGAAAUGCGUAGAGAUCGGGAGGAACACCAGAGGCGAAGGCGGCGACCUGGACAGAUACUGACACUCAACUACGAAAGCGUGGGUAGCAAACAGG
RNAcentral lists this ribosomal RNA (253 nucleotides) under uncultured bacterium. RNAcentral's name for it is "partial 16S ribosomal RNA". It matches the Rfam family "Bacterial small subunit ribosomal RNA", at positions 524 to 776 of the family's 1533-position model. The record is from RNAcentral.